UCGCCUUCGGGUGGACAGUGGAGUGGCGCACGGGUGAGUAACACGUAGGUAAUCUACCUUUGGAUUGGGAAUAACCACCGGAAACGGUGGCUAAUACCGAAUAAUGCAGCGGCACCUAAUGGUGACAGUUGUUAAAGCGGGGGAUCGCAAGACCUCGCGUCUGAAGAGGAGCCUGCGGCAGAUUAGCUAGUUGGUAAGGUAACGGCUUACCAAGGCGAUGAUCUGUAGCCGGCCUGAGAGGGCGGUCGGCCACACUGACACUGACAUACGGGUCAGACUCCUACGGGAGGCAGCAGUCGGGAAUUUUGGGCAAUGGGCGAAAGCCUGACCCAGCAACGCCGCGUGAAGGAUGAAAUCCUUCGGGAUGUAAACUUCGCAAGAACGGGAAGAAUAAGUAAGGGUUAAUAUCUCUUACGAUGACGGUACUGUUUGUAAGCUCCGGCUAACUCCGUGCCAGCAGCCGCGGUAAUACGGGGGGAGCAAGCGUUGUUCGGAUUUACUGGGCGUAAAGGGCGCGUAGGCGGCACGACAAGUCGCUUGUGAAAUCUCCGGGCUUAACUCGGAGCGGCCAAGCGAUACUGUCGCGCUAGAGUGCGGAAGGGGCAACUGGAAUUCUCGGUGUAGCGGUGAAAUGCGUAGAUAUCGAGAGGAACACCUGCGGCGAAGGCGGGUUGCUGGGCCGACACUGACGCUGAUGCGCGAAAGCCAGGGGAGCGAACGGGGAUAG
RNAcentral lists this ribosomal RNA (727 nucleotides) under uncultured bacterium. RNAcentral's name for it is "bacterial SSU rRNA". It matches the Rfam family "Bacterial small subunit ribosomal RNA", at positions 74 to 781 of the family's 1533-position model. The record is from RNAcentral.